UUGGAAUAUGGACUUCCAGGUAAGCGUAACCUGCGGCAUGCCCCACUGUUUUCCCUCCCUUAUUUUCCAGAUGGUUUAAACAGUGAAACAGAAGAGUGGCUGUUUCCUGGCCUGUGUGAUUGGUUUCCAGAAUUGUUUGCUAACCUUUCAGAUGACUAGCAGCAGUCUUCUCAGAAAAGAUGUCAAAAAUAAAGAAAUUAGGAGUAUAACAUUUUGGUGACA
RNAcentral lists this long non-coding RNA (222 nucleotides) under Anas zonorhyncha (Eastern spot-billed duck). RNAcentral's name for it is "lncRNA (ENSAZOG00000001456.1)". Lineage: Eukaryota; Metazoa; Chordata; Aves; Anseriformes; Anatidae. The record is from RNAcentral.